GAGUCUGUCUGCUGUUGUUACAGAAGCAUCAUCAAUAAAUACUGCAGUAAUUGGGACAGCGGCCUGCAACACAAAAAACGAAGGCCCCGCACAGCAGACAUGGACCUCAUGUAAGUGGCUGAGAGUAAAUGCCAAGCAUUUAUCCAUAAAGACUUCAGGAACAUCUGAUGAAAGCCUUUCUGGCCAAGUGUCAGGCAAAUAGUGUCUGUUAUUCAGAAGUCAGGGAGAAUGUGGACUGAUGCAAAGAACAAUUUCUUAAUUGCCAAAUAUGUGGACAUUAGCACAAGAAUGUGAGAGAACAGAAUAUUUGGUCCUGCUGUGUGAGCAGUGCUGUAGCUGCAGGCUGUUUUCUGUAGUAGCGUGUAUUUACUGAAACCACAUUUGUGUGAGCAAGAUGAAGAGAUAGAGGA
Long non-coding RNA from Nothoprocta perdicaria, 410 nucleotides. RefSeq lists it as uncharacterized. The transcript has 4 exons. The record is from RefSeq and is a predicted model, not a curated record. Lineage: Eukaryota; Metazoa; Chordata; Aves; Tinamiformes; Tinamidae.